GCCACUCUGGUGUAAACGGUUGGCACGCAUGCCUGAAGAGCAUGAAGUUUCGGUUCGAUUCCGAGGGGUGGCA
Molecule: transfer RNA, 73 nt
Filed under: Gemmataceae bacterium
Lineage: Bacteria; Pseudomonadati; Planctomycetota; Planctomycetia; Gemmatales; Gemmataceae
Description: tRNA-Phe
Rfam family: tRNA
About the family: Transfer RNA (tRNA) molecules are approximately 80 nucleotides in length.
Source: RNAcentral